This is a non-coding RNA of Cucurbita pepo subsp. pepo (vegetable marrow), 223 nucleotides long. The record is from RefSeq and is a predicted model, not a curated record. Lineage: Eukaryota; Viridiplantae; Streptophyta; Magnoliopsida; Cucurbitales; Cucurbitaceae.
CGUGGCCUAUGUGAAUGUGGGCUGUUAUUAUGCAUUUGGUGUCCCUUUGGGACUCCUAAUGGGCUUCCUGCUUGAUUGGGGUGUUACGGGAAUAUGGUUUGGGAUGAUUGGCGGAACCAUAUUACAGACUAGCAUUUUGACAUGGAUGGUUCGUAGAACCAACUGGAACACAGAGGCGUCUGUGGCUGAGGAUAGAAUAACAAAAUGGUGAGGACCCUCUAUU